ACACGGGAAGCCUAAUCAACGUAC
Molecule: non-coding RNA, 24 nt
Filed under: Arabidopsis thaliana (thale cress)
Lineage: Eukaryota; Viridiplantae; Streptophyta; Magnoliopsida; Brassicales; Brassicaceae
Source: RNAcentral